AACGAACGCUGGCGGCAUGCCUAACACAUGCAAGUCGAACGAGACCUUCGGGUCUAGUGGCGCACGGGUGCGUAACGCGUGGGGACCUGCCCUUAGGUUCGGAAUAACUCCCCGAAAGGGGUGCUAAUACCGGAAUAUGUCUUCGGACCAAAGAUUUAUCGCCUUUGGAUGGGCCCGCGUUGGAUUAGCUAGUUGGUAGGGUAAAAGCCUACCAAGGCGACGAUCCAUAGCUGGUCUGAGAGGAUGAUCAGCCACACUGGGACUGAGACACGGCCCAGACUCCUACGGGAGGCAGCAGUGGGGAAUAUUGGACAAUGGGCGAAAGCCUGAUCCAGCAAUGCCGCGUGAGUGAUGAAGGCCUUAGGGUUGUAAAGCUCUUUUACCCGGGAUGAUAAUGACAGUACCGGGAGAAUAAGCUCCGGCUAACUCCGUG
This 433-nucleotide ribosomal RNA is filed under the name uncultured bacterium. RNAcentral describes it as "partial 16S ribosomal RNA". It matches the Rfam family "Bacterial small subunit ribosomal RNA", at positions 29 to 507 of the family's 1533-position model. The record is from RNAcentral.